UUUGAGAACCCUAUCCUAAAAUCCACUGUCGCAUAUCAUCUCUUUGCAACAUAUCAGACAUACACACACAUAAAACCCCCCAUCAUCUUCACCUCUCUCGCAAAUCCGGUCAUCGGAGUGAGCUCCGACUGAAAUUCCGGCGGUCACAACUGAAUCUCUGGCGAAAUUGACAUCCACAACCAGUUACCUUUCCCCCUCCGUCUCUUCUCCGGCUCCGGCGACCGGAGUGACGCCGGUUAACCGGUCGACACUCACACCCGGCUCCCCUUCUUCUCCGGCGCCGAGAAACCGGACGGCAAACAUCAACCCACCCCCCCUUCUUCUUUCUCAACUGACGGAUCGGAGCACCACCACCACAAGUCCGGUGGUGGUGCGGCGGCUACACAUAGAGAGACCGAGAGAGAGAGAAAGAACCGGCGGUCGGAGUCUCGGACCGCCGGUCGGUUCAAUUAUCCGACGGUCUUUGUUUCUGACCGACGGUAUGAUGCGAUGAUAAAGAUGAGACGUUGAAGAUAAUCGGAGAAACCGAUCUUAUCAGUGAAGUUCGCCGGCGACGGCAGUGGAGUGUUCUCCGCUGAAAUUUGACGCUUGUGUUUGGUUCAGGUCAUCCUUGGUACGGAUCAAGAGGUUCAGGUUUCAUAUUCGACACAGUUCGGGUCAACAGUAACUGGUCAACGAGCAUUCGGGUUAUGGUUUGGUUCGGGUCUCGGUCAGUUAGGGUGCGGUUCAGGUCAGAUUCAGAAUUUCGUGGCUCGGGUUGACUCGGUCAACCCUGGUCAACACAGCGAGUUGACUCAGUCAACUCAACCGGUCAACUCAGCCAACUUUUCGGUUCGACAAAGAAUGAACACUCUUCAAAAUCAGGAGAAAUAAACAACCACCACCAGCAACCACCUCCUCCGGCGAAACUCACCAGGCUUCUUCUCCGGCUCUCUCUCUCCUUAAUCUUUAGAAGCUAAUGAAGGGUCUGAAUGUUGUUUUAGAGAGAGAGAACGAUGACAACAAUCUUCAUCAUGUUCAUCUAUAACACCAAGAACACACAUACAAGUGAGAGAGAGAGAGAGAGAGAGGAAGUUUGAACACACAUACAGACGACUCGGGUCAGAUUCAUGUUCAGAAAUAAUGAUAUACGGUUGACGAUUUUGUUGGUUUGGUUGCUGUUUGGGCUUUUGAUCUGAAUAAUCCAUAAAGAUAUUCAAUUGACAAGCUGGAUGGAUGUAGGCGACGUUAAUGCGGGGACAUUGAAUAAGUCAAAUCUUCUGGGAAAGAAGUUUUCGUUCAUUUAUAACAUGUGUUAGUGGUUCAUGCUGUAACAGAUCCAUAAACAAGUUUUCAAGCUGUAACAAGUUUUCGUUCGUUUAUAAAAUGUGUUAGUGGUUCAUGCUGUAAUAGAUCCAUAAAGAAGUUUUCAUGCUAUAACAAGUUUUCGU
RNAcentral lists this long non-coding RNA (1430 nucleotides) under Helianthus annuus (common sunflower). Its description in RNAcentral is "hypothetical non coding rna". The record is from RNAcentral. Lineage: Eukaryota; Viridiplantae; Streptophyta; Magnoliopsida; Asterales; Asteraceae.